GACGAACGCUGGCGGCGUGCCUAAUACAUGCAAGUCGAACGCUUCUUUCCUCCCGAGUGCUUGCACUCAAUUGGAAAGAGGAGUGGCGGACGGGUGAGUAACACGUGUGUAACCUACCCAUCAGAGGGGGAUAACACUUGGAAACAGGUGCUAAUACCGCAUAACAGUUUAUGCCGCAUGGCAUAAGAGUGAAAGGCGCUUUCGGGUGUCGUUGAUGGAUGGACCCGCGGUGCAUAGCUAGUUGGUGAGGUAACGGCUCACCAAGGGCACGAGGCAUAGCCGACCUGAGUGAGUGAUCGGCCACACUGGGACUGAGACACGGCCCAUGCUCCUACGGGAGGCAGCAGUAGGCAAUGUGCGGCAGUGGACGAAAGUCUGACCGAGCAAGGCCGCGUGAGUGACGGAGGUGUUCGGAGCGUAAAGCUGUGUUGUUAGAGAAGAACGAGGACGGUAGUAACUGAACGUUGCCUGACGGUAACUAACCAGAAAGCCACGGCUAACUACGUG
Molecule: ribosomal RNA, 507 nt
Filed under: uncultured bacterium
Lineage: Bacteria
Description: partial 16S ribosomal RNA
Rfam family: Bacterial small subunit ribosomal RNA
Source: RNAcentral